This 1461-nucleotide ribosomal RNA is filed under the name uncultured bacterium. RNAcentral describes it as "bacterial SSU rRNA". It matches the Rfam family "Bacterial small subunit ribosomal RNA". The record is from RNAcentral.
AACGAACGCUGGCGGCGUGCUUAACACAUGCAAGUCGAGUGCGCGUGCCGUAGCAAUACGGUAUGGCGCACGGCGCACGGGUGCGUAACACGUGGGCAAUCUGCCCUCCAGUGGGGAAUAACCCCGCGAAAGCGGGGCUAAUUCCGCAUAACAUUCCCUGGACUCUGGUUCGGGGAUUCAAAGCAGUAAUGCGCCGGAGGAGGAGCCCGCGCCCGAUUAGCUAGUUGGUGAGGUGACGGCUCACCAAGGCAAUGAUCGGUAGCUGGUCUGAGAGGAUGGCCAGCCACACUAGAACUGAGACACGGUCCAGACUCCUACGGGAGGCAGCAGUGGGGAAUCUUGCGCAAUGGGCGAAAGCCUGACGCAGCGACGCCGCGUGGGGGAUGAAGCUUCUCGGAGUGUAAACCCCUUUCGACCGGGACGAAUGCCCGCAAGGGAGUGACGGUACCGGUAGAAGAAGCCCCGGCUAACUACGUGCCAGCAGCCGCGGUAAGACGUAGGGGGCCAGCGUUGUUCGGAAUUACUGGGUGUAAAGGGUUCGUAGGCGGUGUGGCAAGUCGGGAGUGAAAUUUCUGGGCUUAACUCAGAAGCUGCUUCCGAGACUGCUGUGCUAGAGUGCGGGAGAGGCGCGUGGAAUUGCAGGUGUAGCGGUGAAAUGCGUAGAUAUCUGCAGGAACACCCGUGGCGAAAGCGGCGCGCUGGACCGUUACUGACGCUGAGGAACGAAAGCUAGGGGAGCAAACAGGAUUAGAUACCCUGGUAGUCCUAGCCGUAAACGGUGCACGUUUGCUGUAAAAGGAAUCGACCCCUUUUGUGGCGGAGCCAACGCGUUAAACGUGCCGCCUGGGAAGUACGGUCGCAAGAUUAAAACUCAAAGAAAUUGACGGGGGCCUGCACAAGCGGUGGAGUAUGUGGCUCAAUUCGAUGCAACGCGAAGAACCUUACCUGGCCUUGACAUGUACGUAGUAGAAGGGUGAAAGCCUGACGAGAUAGCAAUAUCAGCGUACACAGGUGCUGCAUGGCUGUCGUCAGCUCGUGUCGUGAGAUGUUGGGUUAAGUCCCGCAACGAGCGCAACCCCUGUGUCCUGUUGCCACCCGGCCGAAAGGCUGGAGCACUCUGGACAGACUGCCUCGCUUAAACGAGAGGAAGGUGGGGAUGACGUCAAGUCAGUAUGGCCCUUACGGCCAGGGCUGCACACGUACUACAAUGCCCGGCACAGAGGGAAGCGAGACCGUCAGGUGGAGCAAAUCCCCCAAAACCGGGCCCAGUUCAGAUUGUCGUCUGCAACUCGACGGCAUGAAGCUGGAAUCGCUAGUAAUGGCGCAUCAGCUACGGCGCCGUGAAUACGUUCCCAGGCCUUGUACACACCGCCCGUCACAUCAUGAAAGCCGUUUGUACCCGAAGUCGCCGUGUUAACUGCAAAGAGACAGGUUCCGAAGGUAUGGAUGGUGAUUGGGAUG